GAUGAACGCUGGCGGCGUGCCUAAUACAUGCAAGUCGAGCGAACAGACGAGGAGCUUGCUCCUCUGACGUUAGCGGCGGACGGGUGAGUAACACGUGGAUAACCUACCUAUAAGACUGGGAUAACUUCGGGAAACCGGAGCUAAUACCGGAUAAUAUAUUGAACCGCAUGGUUCAAUAGUGAAAGACGGUUUUGCUGUCACUUAUAGAUGGAUCCGCGCCGCAUUAGCUAGUUGGUAACGUAACGGCUUACCAAGGCAACGAUGCGUAGCCGACCUGAGAGGGGGAUGGGCCCCACUGGGACUGAGACACGGUCCAGAGUCCUAGGGGAGGCCGCAGUAGGGAAUCUUCCGCAAUGGGCGAAAGCUUGACGGAGCAACGCCGCGUGAGUGAUGAAGGUCUUCGGAUCGUAAAACUCUGUUAUUAGGGAAGAACAAAUGUGUAAGUAACUAUGCACGUCUUGACGGUACCUAAUCAGAAAGCAACGGCUAACUACGUG
Molecule: ribosomal RNA, 497 nt
Filed under: uncultured bacterium
Lineage: Bacteria
Description: partial 16S ribosomal RNA
Rfam family: Bacterial small subunit ribosomal RNA
Source: RNAcentral